RNAcentral lists this unclassified non-coding RNA (273 nucleotides) under Hevea brasiliensis (rubber tree). Lineage: Eukaryota; Viridiplantae; Streptophyta; Magnoliopsida; Malpighiales; Euphorbiaceae. The record is from RNAcentral.
CUCCCCGCAAGGUGUAAACUAUUUCUUCCAUCAUUCAACCACGGCAGACUAGAAAAAUAAGCGGAACAAAUGAGAAGCUUCGUUAGGUGAAUUGUCCAUUGUAGGACGUUAUUUAUAGAAUGGAAUAAUAGCUAGAAGGUGGUAUGCAUUCUACAGUUCUUUCUUUCUAAGUCCACUUUUUACCUGAAUAUGGGCUUACUGUCUGUUUGAGUUUUAUUUUUUUAGUUCUUCUGCCUGUAAAACUAAAUUGGAUAGAUAGUAAUAGAAAUCCCU